Molecule: long non-coding RNA, 230 nt
Organism: Oreochromis niloticus (Nile tilapia)
Lineage: Eukaryota; Metazoa; Chordata; Actinopteri; Cichliformes; Cichlidae
Exons: 3
Source: RefSeq, a predicted model, not a curated record
UCGCUGCCGUCUAUAAAAUAACAAGUGCGCUGAGAGGAGAGGAGUGGCUCUAAUCUUGGUUACGCUGAAUAGCCACCGUAUUUGAUCCUGAGAGGGUUUCUGCAGACAUGGAGCUUCUUCUUCUGUUUCUGAGCUUCUGUUUCCUGACUUUGUCCGGACUGACGUUUGGUGCUGAAUCCGGCUCACGUGUGAUUGUGAUGGAAGAUGACGAUGCACUUUUAAGCUGCUCC